Molecule: non-coding RNA, 69 nt
Organism: Podarcis lilfordi (Lilford's wall lizard)
Lineage: Eukaryota; Metazoa; Chordata; Lepidosauria; Squamata; Lacertidae
Source: the annotation of a GenBank genome assembly
GGAAAGGCUCAGAGGUAGAGCAUUUGCCUGGCAGGCAGAAGGUCCCAGGUUCAUUCCCUGGCAUCUCCA